ACGCGUCCUUAAAAUAUGAUGAAACAGAAUGUAUUCAUACCUAAUUUAAAAUCAAUAGUAAAGGGACUGGUGUUUAUUUUAAUCGAUUUAGACCUAAAAGCCAGACCAAACAGCAUGAGUUGUAUUUGACGGAUUUCAAGUUUGAAAACGGAUUAUGAAUUUUUUGUAGGUUCUUCAUACCAGGGUAUAUUGGAAAUAGAAAUAUAUUGUUAUUUUACUGGAAACUGGAAAACAAUUUGAUAGCUUUUAGUAUUUUGCCUUUUACUCGUGAUAAGGAGAACUAAAAUUUAAAAAAAAUAAUUCCAACGUAUCCGUAGAAUCUAAAGAAUCGUAACACGUUUUCAAAGUUGAAAUCCAUUAAACACAACUCCUACAGUUUUGUCUCGGUCUAAAACAUCGUAUUCGUUCGUAAAAACGGUCAUACCUAUUCCACUUAAAUGUGUAUCGAGUAGUACAUUAAAAGGAAAAAGUAUUAUCAUUAAUUUGGUCAUUAAAAUGUAAAAAAAAAUUGAAAUUAAAAUCAUU
Non-coding RNA from Cinara cedri, 525 nucleotides. The record is from the annotation of a GenBank genome assembly. NCBI's taxonomy places the organism in Eukaryota, Metazoa, Arthropoda, Insecta, Hemiptera, Aphididae.